RNAcentral lists this ribosomal RNA (525 nucleotides) under uncultured bacterium. Its description in RNAcentral is "bacterial SSU rRNA". It matches the Rfam family "Bacterial small subunit ribosomal RNA", at positions 355 to 895 of the family's 1533-position model. The record is from RNAcentral.
UGGGGAAUCUUGGACAAUGGGGGCAACCCUGAUCCAGCCAUGCCGCGUGAGUGAUGAAGGCCUUAGGGUCGUAAAGCUCUUUCGCCUGUGAAGAUAAUGACGGUAGCAGGUAAAGAAACCCCGGCUAACUCCGUGCCAGCAGCCGCGGUAAUACGUAGGGUGCAAGCGUUGUCCGGAAUUAUUGGGGCGUAAAGCGCACGUAGGCGGACCAGAAAGUUAGAGGUGAAAUCCCAGGGGCUCAACCUUGGAACUGCCUUUAAAACUGCUAGUCUAGAGACCGGAAGAGGUUAGGGGAAUACCUAGUGUAGAGGUGAAAAUUCGUAGAUAUUAGGUGGAACACCAGUGGCGAAGGCGCCUAACUGGUCCGGUACUGACGCUGAGGAACGAAAGCGUGGGGAGCAAACAGGAUUAGAUACCCUGGUAGUCCACGCCGUAAACGAUGAGUGCUAGAUGUUGGGAUUUUCGGAUUUUCAGUGUCGCAGCUAACGCAUUAAGCACUCCGCCUGGGGAGUACGGCCGCAGGUU